UGCCUGGCUCAUUCACGUGUCCCACGGAAGGUCCAUCACGUCGUGAUAAAUGGCUGGGCUCUGUCGGAAACCCCAGUGAGAUGUCAUAGAAGGGUCAGCAGGGGCCUUGGAGACCUUUGCCACACUGGACAAAAGGCGGGAACCCACAGGCCUGAAGUAAAGUUCCUCGCUGUGGCUGUCGCAGAAGGGCUGUUCCAUGUUGGGUCGGCCAUCAGGAGUGGAGUCUCUGAUGGCUGCCCAUGGCUGGGUAGGGGCCCUGCCCAGGCUGGGGACAGCUGGAGCUCCUUCCACCAGGUGAGGACAUCAGCGCAGCCCGAGGUACUGAGCAAGGACAUCGCCCCAGGUGUGAAGCACAGUGACAUCUGUUCCGGGGUGUGAGGAGAUCAGGCCAGGAAGCACUUGCUGUUUCCUCCCCCACACGUGGGCUGGGACUCACCCCAGCCAGGUGAAGGUGAGCACACACCCAGGGAAUGAAGAGGCCCACCUGCUCCUCUGAAAUCAGCCCACGGGUCAUGGCUCAAGCAGUCACUCCACAAACAUUCAGCAGCUGCACUGACGGAGGCGUGGACCUGCCUGAGGGGCUCAUGGGAGCGACAUGUGACAUGUGCCACACAAUGAAGGCAACGACUCAGAGGUGACUACUGCUCACGUGCCAGGGACUGUUCAAACACCUCACCCUAUGACUGAUUCAGUUCUCAUCACGGUCCGAGGGAGCAGGGGAGCUCUUCCCCUGGACAUGAGCUGAGUCACUGGUCAGCUAAAAUCCCCAAG
RNAcentral lists this long non-coding RNA (771 nucleotides) under Fukomys damarensis (Damara mole-rat). Its description in RNAcentral is "lncRNA (ENSFDAG00000032656.1)". The record is from RNAcentral. Lineage: Eukaryota; Metazoa; Chordata; Mammalia; Rodentia; Bathyergidae.